Molecule: ribosomal RNA, 101 nt
Filed under: uncultured bacterium
Lineage: Bacteria
Description: partial 16S ribosomal RNA
Rfam family: Bacterial small subunit ribosomal RNA
Source: RNAcentral
CCUACGGGAGGCAGCAGUGGGGAAUAUUGCACAAUGGGAGCAAGCCUGAUGCAGCAACGCCGCGUGAGGGAAGAAGGCCUUCGGGUUGUAAACCUCUGUCC